This 635-nucleotide ribosomal RNA is filed under the name Vibrio sp. 01SF1M10. Its description in RNAcentral is "bacterial SSU rRNA". It matches the Rfam family "Bacterial small subunit ribosomal RNA", at positions 290 to 917 of the family's 1533-position model. The record is from RNAcentral. Lineage: Bacteria; Pseudomonadati; Pseudomonadota; Gammaproteobacteria; Vibrionales; Vibrionaceae.
GUCUGAGAGGAUGAUCAGCCACACUGGAACUGAGACACGGUCCAGACUCCUACGGGAGGCAGCAGUGGGGAAUAUUGCACAAUGGGCGCAAGCCUGAUGCAGCCAUGCCGCGUGUAUGAAGAAGGCCUUCGGGUUGUAAAGUACUUUCAGCAGUGAGGAAGGUGGUAGUGUUAAUAGCACUAUCAUUUGACGUUAGCUGCAGAACGAGCACCGGCUAACUCCGUGCCAGCAGCCGCGGUAGUACUGAGGGUGCGAGCGUUAAUCGGAAUUACUGGGCGUAAAGCGCAUGCRGGUGGUUUGUUAARUCAGAURUGAAAGCCCGGGGCUCAACCUCGGARUUGCAUUUGAAACUGGCAGACUAGAGUACWGUAGAGGGGGGUAGAAUUUCAGGUGUAGCGGUGAAAUGCGUAGAGAUAUGAAGGGAAUACCGGUGGCGAAGGGCGCCCCCCUGGACAGAUACUGACAGUCAGAUGCGAAAGCGUGGGGAGCUAACAGGAUUAGAUACCUGGUAGUCCACGCCGUAAACGAUGUCUACUUGGAGGUUGUGSCCCGAGCCGUGGCUUUCGGAGCUAACGCGUUAAGUAGACCGCCUGGGGAGUACGGUCGCAAGAUUAAAACUCAAAUGAAUUGACGGG